RNAcentral lists this ribosomal RNA (361 nucleotides) under uncultured bacterium. RNAcentral's name for it is "bacterial SSU rRNA". It matches the Rfam family "Bacterial small subunit ribosomal RNA", at positions 151 to 507 of the family's 1533-position model. The record is from RNAcentral.
GCGAAAGUUACGCUAAUACCGCAUACGAUCUAAGGAUGAAAGCGGGGGAUCGCAAGACCUCGCGCGAUUGGAGCGGCCGAUAUCAGAUUAGGUAGUUGGUGAGGUAAAGGCUCACCAAGCCAACGAUCUGUAGCUGGUCUGAGAGGACGACCCAGCCACACUGGAACUGAGACACGGUCCAGACUCCUACGGGAGGCAGCAGUGGGGAAUUUUGGACAAUGGACGCAAGUCUGAUCCAGCCAUUCCGCGUGCAGGAUGAAGGCCCUCGGGUUGUAAACUGCUUUGUACGGAACGAAAAGGUUUGUCUUAAUACGAUGAGCUCAUGACGGUACCGUAAGAAUAAGCACCGGCUAACUACGUG